UGCAGAACGACGCCGGCGAGUUUGUGGACC
Molecule: non-coding RNA, 30 nt
Filed under: Mus musculus (house mouse)
Lineage: Eukaryota; Metazoa; Chordata; Mammalia; Rodentia; Muridae
Also listed under: 1 other name
Source: RNAcentral